Molecule: ribosomal RNA, 229 nt
Filed under: uncultured bacterium
Lineage: Bacteria
Description: partial 16S ribosomal RNA
Rfam family: Bacterial small subunit ribosomal RNA
Source: RNAcentral
UGGGUGACCUGCCCUCAGCUCUGGGAUAAGCCUGGGAAACUGGGUCUAAUACUGGAUAUUCACUUCUCAUCGCAUGGUGGGUGGUGGAAAGUUUUUUCGGCUGGGGAUGGGCCCGCGGCCUAUCAGCUUGUUGGUGGGGUGAUGGCCUACCAAGGCGACGACGGGUAGCCGGCCUGAGAGGGUGACCGGCCACACUGGGACUGAGACACGGCCCAGACUCCUACGGGAG